Molecule: ribosomal RNA, 303 nt
Filed under: uncultured bacterium
Lineage: Bacteria
Description: partial 16S ribosomal RNA
Rfam family: Bacterial small subunit ribosomal RNA
Source: RNAcentral
AGCAGUAGCCGCGGUAAUACAGAGGGUGCGAGCGUUAAUCGGAAUUACUGGGCGUAAAGCGUGCGCAGGCGGUUAUAUAAGACAGAUGUGAAAUCCCCGGGCUCAACCUGGGAACUGCAUUUGUGACUGUAUAGCUAGAGUACGGCAGAGGGGGAUGGAAUUCCGCGUGUAGCAGUGAAAUGCGUAGAUAUGCGGAGGAACACCGAUGGCGAAGGCAAUCCCCUGGGCCUGUACUGACGCUCAUGCACGAAAGCGUGGGGAGCAAACAGGAUUAGAUACCCCAGUAGUCCCUGUCUCUUAUAC